AGGGUUAUAGUUAAAAUAUAACAUUUGAUUUGCAUUCAAAAGAUAUUGACAAUUUCAAUUUACCUUG
This 67-nucleotide transfer RNA is filed under the name Hydrellia maura. Its description in RNAcentral is "tRNA-Ala". It matches the Rfam family "tRNA". Rfam says of the family: Transfer RNA (tRNA) molecules are approximately 80 nucleotides in length. Their secondary structure includes four short double-helical elements and three loops (D, anti-codon, and T loops). Lineage: Eukaryota; Metazoa; Arthropoda; Insecta; Diptera; Ephydridae. The record is from RNAcentral.